AGCGAACGCUGGCGGCAGGCUUAACACAUGCAAGUCGAGCGGGCACUUUCGGGUGUCAGCGGCGGACGGGUGAGUAACGCGUGGGAACGUGCCCUCUGGUUCGGAAUAACUCAGGGAAACUUGAGCUAAUACCGGAUACGCCCUUUUGGGGAAAGGCUUGCUGCCGGAGGAUCGGCCCGCGUCUGAUUAGCUAGUUGGUGAGGUAACGGCUCACCAAGGCGACGAUCAGUAGCUGGUCUGAGAGGAUGAUCAGCCACACUGGGACUGAGACACGGCCCAGACUCCUACGGGAGGCGGCAGUGGGGAAUAUUGGACAAUGAGCGCAAGCCUGAUCCAGCCAUGCCGCGUGAGUGAUGAAGGCCUUAGGGUUGUAAAGCUCUUUUAUCCGGGACGAUAAUGACGGUACCGGAGGAAUAAGCCCCGGCUAACUUCGUG
Molecule: ribosomal RNA, 435 nt
Filed under: uncultured bacterium
Lineage: Bacteria
Description: partial 16S ribosomal RNA
Rfam family: Bacterial small subunit ribosomal RNA
Source: RNAcentral